This 152-nucleotide small nuclear RNA is filed under the name Microtus ochrogaster (prairie vole). RNAcentral describes it as "U1 spliceosomal RNA (ENSMOCG00000011259.1)". The record is from RNAcentral. Lineage: Eukaryota; Metazoa; Chordata; Mammalia; Rodentia; Cricetidae.
UUUUUUACCUGGCAGGAGAGAGGUCAUGAUCGCUGACCUAGGAGUGAGGCUUAUUCCUUGCUCUCCAGAUGUGCUAACCCUGUGAUUUCUCCAGCUCUGUGAAGCUCAACUACAUAUUCUGUGGUCAUGGGAAACAACGGUCACCCUCCCCU